GGUUUUGGGUGUGGUCUAUGUCA
Molecule: non-coding RNA, 23 nt
Filed under: Arabidopsis thaliana (thale cress)
Lineage: Eukaryota; Viridiplantae; Streptophyta; Magnoliopsida; Brassicales; Brassicaceae
Source: RNAcentral